This is a long non-coding RNA of Mastomys coucha (southern multimammate mouse), 462 nucleotides long. RefSeq lists it as uncharacterized. The transcript has 2 exons. Lineage: Eukaryota; Metazoa; Chordata; Mammalia; Rodentia; Muridae. The record is from RefSeq and is a predicted model, not a curated record.
UAAUCACCAAAUAUGGGUGCUGGAAUUCAAACUCAGUCCUCAGGAUUGAGCAGGAAGUACUCUUAACCACUGAGCUAUCUCUCCACUCCCUCAGAAAAGCUUCUACAAGACAGAAUUUAUCUGUGUAACCCUGGCUGUCCUGGAACUAGAGCUGUAGACCAAGUUGGAGAUCCCCUACCUCUGCCUGCCAGCUGGGAUUAAAGGUGUGUGUCACCACCGCCAUGGUCUAGUUAUACAACUUUUCAUAUUAGCUUAUUUAAACAGCACAGAAAGAAAAAUCAUUACAAAUGAAACAGAUGCCAUAAGACUAUGAAUUAGAUGAAUGAAACUACUUACCUAGCAAGUUGUGCAAGUUCUUUUUGGGUCAGUGGACUUCCUUGUUUACAUAACAGGUUUUUAAGUAGAAGUAGUCUUGUCUGGAAGUACAUAUCAAAGAAUUAUAAAUAAAGCUCAAUUUGAUAA